GGGCUGAGAGCUUCAACCAAAUAUUAAAGGUGAAAAAAAAUAGGAAUCACAAACGGAAAAAGUGAACUCCGGCCAUGCCAGCCAUGACCAAAAUAGAUAUUCGCAGAGGUAGGUAUGGAAUCAUAUUGAAAAAUAACAUUUUCAGUCAUUCUUUCCUGCUGGUUUGACAUAUAUAAUGUGGUCGUCAUCGUAUUUCACGCGAAAUGCCGGU
This 211-nucleotide long non-coding RNA is filed under the name Elaeis guineensis (African oil palm). RNAcentral describes it as "long non-coding RNA (EGUI_LNC006395)". The record is from RNAcentral. Lineage: Eukaryota; Viridiplantae; Streptophyta; Magnoliopsida; Arecales; Arecaceae.